Long non-coding RNA from Anguilla anguilla (European eel), 325 nucleotides. RefSeq lists it as uncharacterized. NCBI's taxonomy places the organism in Eukaryota, Metazoa, Chordata, Actinopteri, Anguilliformes, Anguillidae. The record is from RefSeq and is a predicted model, not a curated record. The transcript has 3 exons.
AGCGCAAAAGAUGACAUCAGUGGCAACAGAAAAUAACUCAUCAGAGAGAGCCAGCAAUCGAGAGCCAGUAACCUCCACCCUACAGAUGGCUACUUAGCAAUAACCAGCCUUGGAAGACUUAAGUCCCUCUUAUUUUGAUACUGCAGCAGGAGAAGAAAGACCUCUCCGUUCUGCAACCUUGAGGCAACUGGCAACUCUCCCAUCGGCCCACAGUGGUGAAACAAACUUCCCAAAUUGGUCGGGACAGCAGACAGACCUCUUCAGACUGCACACUGACUCACCUCUCCACUCUAUAGCUUUAUGUUUCUAUUAGGGCUUGUUAUGG